UACGUAGGGUGCGAGCGUUAAUCGGAAUUACUGGGCGUAAAGCGUGCGCAGGCGGUUUUGUAAGCCAGAUGUGAAAUCCCCGGGCUUAACCUGGGAAUGGCAUUUGGGACUGCAAGGCUUGAGUGUGGCAGAGGAGACUGGAAUUCCUGGUGUAGCAGUGAAAUGCGUAGAUAUCAGGAGGAACACCGAUGGCGAAGGCAGGUCUCUGGGCUAACACUGACGCCCAUGCACGAAAGCGUGGGGAGCAAACAGG
Molecule: ribosomal RNA, 253 nt
Filed under: uncultured bacterium
Lineage: Bacteria
Description: partial 16S ribosomal RNA
Rfam family: Bacterial small subunit ribosomal RNA
Source: RNAcentral